Non-coding RNA from Maylandia zebra (zebra mbuna), 454 nucleotides. The record is from RefSeq and is a predicted model, not a curated record. NCBI's taxonomy places the organism in Eukaryota, Metazoa, Chordata, Actinopteri, Cichliformes, Cichlidae.
AUUGCUUGCGAACUGCUAGAACAUCAAAGUAAUGCUGAUGACUACUGUGUGGUUUGUUCCAUGCUGGAAGCCGAUCCAGACUCCAGUAUGAUUGAAAUGGUGCAGUGCGAGUUUUGUUCCAGAUGGGCACAUUUUGGAUGUGCUCAAUAUGAGAGCAGCCUGGUCAAGUACCUGUGCGACAAAUGUGCAUAAUUUGUACACUGUUUCUUUUUCAGUUCUUUCUCCCUGUGUUCUGUUGAUCUAUAAACGUCAAAUAUAUGUAUCUGUAAAUAUAUUCAGUAAAUAUAUACUGUAACUAUAAUGGAGUGAGUUCAUUGUCAAAGUUUAUAUAGUCAGGUGUUCCAAUCACUUCAGUGGUGACAGCUGUAUAACUUAAGCACCUUGGCAUGCAGACUGCUUCUACAAACAAGUGCCAAACCAUGCUACCUUUGUUAUUAUAAAGUAGAAGCAUACU